ACAGUGGACCAGGCUUCUGAUGGAACUAUUACAAGCAUGAAGAAGAGGUGGUGAGAUGGUCCUGCUGACCCCAGGGCAGAUGGCAUUGACAAAGCUGUAUGUGGAAGGGCUUAAGGCAUACCUGGGAAGAAUGAUACAUGAAAAUGAAGGCAGGAGAUCAGUUGACAGGUCUAUGGACCAAAGAAUAGCAAGGAUUAUCAACAAGUUCCCAGAAGCCAGAGAGAAUCAGAGAAACAUCUGACUCUGUCCCCAGAAGCAUUCAACACCACUAAACAUGAUCUAGGACUUACUACAUCAGAAAUGAAAGACAACUUUCUGUUGUUUAAGACAUUCAACCUGUGGUCCUUGUUAUAGCCGUCACAACAAUAAAUACAAGUUAAAAUAUGCUGGGAAGAAACGUGAGAAGAAAACCUUGAAAUAAGCAAAGCUCUGUGUGGGCUCCAGGCAUCAAACAUGGGUCAUCAACUUUGUAUGGCAAGUGCCUUUAGUCCGGGCCUCAGACUUCCUUUACACACAAUGCAAGGUCUUCGGGAUUCCAGUGUCUACUGAAGACCAGCCGAGAUGCCCAUCUUCAUGAACUGAAAAACUACUGGAUUCCUGGACCAGUAGACAGCCAUUGUUGGGCUAGCUAGACCACAGCCUGGAAGACACUCUAAUAAAUCCCCCUUUUAUGUCUCUGAA
This 681-nucleotide long non-coding RNA is filed under the name Mus musculus (house mouse). RNAcentral's name for it is "predicted gene, 35554, transcript variant 4 (Gm35554)". The record is from RNAcentral. Lineage: Eukaryota; Metazoa; Chordata; Mammalia; Rodentia; Muridae.